Molecule: ribosomal RNA, 388 nt
Filed under: Herbaspirillum sp. BV11
Lineage: Bacteria; Pseudomonadati; Pseudomonadota; Betaproteobacteria; Burkholderiales; Oxalobacteraceae
Also listed under: 1 other name
Description: bacterial SSU rRNA
Rfam family: Bacterial small subunit ribosomal RNA
Source: RNAcentral
GAAGAGAUUUGGGAGUGCUCGAAAGAGAACCAUCACACAGGUGCUGCAUGGCUGUCGUCAGCUCGGGUCGUGAGAUGUUGGGUUAAGUCCCGCAACGAGCGCAACCCUUGUCAUUAGUUGCUACGAAAGGGCACUCUAAUGAGACUGCCGGUGACAAACCGGAGGAAGGUGGGGAUGACGUCAAGUCCUCAUGGCCCUUAUGGGUAGGGCUUCACACGUCAUACAAUGGUACAUACAGAGGGCCGCCAACCCGCGAGGGGGAGCUAAUCCCAGAAAGUGUAUCGUAGUCCGGAUUGGAGUCUGCAACUCGACUCCAUGAAGUUGGAAUCGCUAGUAAUCGCGGAUCAGCAUGUCGCGGUGAAUACGUUCCCGGGUCUUGUACACACCG